Molecule: transfer RNA, 65 nt
Filed under: Acanthochitona mahensis
Lineage: Eukaryota; Metazoa; Mollusca; Polyplacophora; Chitonida; Acanthochitonidae
Description: tRNA-Thr
Source: RNAcentral
GCUAAAAAAGCUUUUUUAAGCGUCAGUCUUGUAAACUGAAGAUGAAAUAUGUGUUUCUUUUAGCU